CCCUAAAUCUAGCCCACUUAAAUCGUAUGACUACACCCCCACUUUACACCUUAAUAAAACAUUUUGUUAUCUUAGUACAGGCGAUCGAAAAAUUAAUAAGAGCUUUAGAUUAAGUACCGCAAGGGAAUGAUGAAAUAGAAAUGAAAUAACCUUAAAGCCUAAAAUAGCAGAGUUUACCUCUCGUACCUUUUGCAUCAUGGUCUAGCUAGUCCCCCCAGGCAAAAAGAAAUUUAAGUCUGAUUCCCCGAAACUAAGCGAGCUACUUCAGAACAGCCCAGAGAGCCAACCCGUCUCUGUUUCAAAAGAGUGGGAAGAUUCCCAAGUAGAGGUGAUAAACCUACCGAGCUUAGAGAUAGCUGGUUGUUCAGGAAAAGAGUCUAAGCUCAACCUUAAAUUUCCGUAUGAAGCAAGCAAGAUAAUAAAUUUAAGAGUUAUUCAAAUAAGGCACAGCUUAUUUGAAAGGGGAUACAACCCCAAACAAUGGGUUACAAAGAUAAUCUAAAUAAAGUGGGCCUAAAAGCAGCCACCUUCUAAAAAGCGUCAAAGCUUAUCAUUUUAGCAUCCUUAAUUACUUAAUUCUAAACCAACCCUUUAUUAAUACUGAACUAUUUUAUACUAAUAUAAAAGCUAUUAUGCUAGAACUAGUAACAAGAAAUUGCCUUCUCCAAAAUGUAUGUUUAAACCAAUACGGACAAACCAUUGGUAAUUAACACAAAUGCAUCAAUCUUAGUACCAUCCCUAGAAAACUCUAAGAAUUCAAGUGUUAAUCUUACACCAGAACAUUGCAGGAAAGAUUAAAAGAGAGGGAAGGAACUCGGCAAAUCAUAGUCCCGCCUGUUUACCAAAAACAUCGCCUCCUGAUAAACAUAGGAGGUCCAGCCUGCCCAGUGACAACGUUCAACGGCCGCGGUACCCUAACCGUGCGAAGGUAGCAUAAUCACUUGUUCUUUAAAUGGGGACUCGUAUCAAAGGCACCACGAGGACUAUACUGUCUCCCCUCUCCAAUCAGUGAAACUGAUCCCCCCGUGAAGAAGCGGGGAUUUAACUAUAAGACGAGAAGACCCCAUGGAGCUUUAGACUUAAUAUACACCCUUGCUCAACAUAACAGUAAAGCUAUUAAGAUAUGUAUAUUGUCUUCGGUUGGGGGGACCGCGGAGUAAAACUUAACCUCCACGACAAACGGGUUAACACCCUUAUCCAAGAAACACAUUUCUAAGAGUCAAUAAAUUGUUGUUUAUGACCCAUUUUAUGAUUAACGAACCAAGUUACCCUGGGGAUAACAGCGCAAUCUACUUCAAGAGCCCCUAUCGACAAGUAGGUUUACGACCUCGAUGUUGGAUCAGGGAAUCCCAGUGGCGCAACCGCUAC
Molecule: ribosomal RNA, 1368 nt
Filed under: Amolops panhai
Lineage: Eukaryota; Metazoa; Chordata; Amphibia; Anura; Ranidae
Description: partial 16S ribosomal RNA
Rfam family: Bacterial large subunit ribosomal RNA
Source: RNAcentral